UAAUCCCUGCUGUGUUCGUUAGGAAGAUAUAUAAAGUAACCUAACUAUUCAAUCGGGACGCCUGAUUCCUGUUGGCCCGUGGGCUUGCAGGGGAGGGUACCCACCUGGUGAUCUGGGUCACCAUUAAAAUCUUUCGACGGCACGUGCGGGGAUUAU
RNAcentral lists this non-coding RNA (156 nucleotides) under Candidatus Omnitrophota bacterium. RNAcentral's name for it is "6S RNA". It matches the Rfam family "6S / SsrS RNA". From Rfam's summary of the family: E. coli 6S RNA was the first non coding RNA to be sequenced, but its function was unknown until recently. It consists of 184 nucleotides that fold into an extended hairpin structure with a large single-stranded internal bulge. The 6S RNA specifically associates with RNA polymerase holoenzyme containing the sigma70 specificity factor. The record is from RNAcentral. Lineage: Bacteria; Pseudomonadati; Candidatus Omnitrophota.